RNAcentral lists this unclassified non-coding RNA (335 nucleotides) under soil metagenome. RNAcentral describes it as "partial contains 5.8S ribosomal RNA, internal transcribed spacer 2, and large subunit ribosomal RNA". The stretch from base 1 to 120 matches the Rfam family "5.8S ribosomal RNA", at positions 35 to 154 of the family's 154-position model. The record is from RNAcentral.
GAUGAAGAACGCAGCGAAAUGCGAUAAGUAGUGUGAAUUGCAGAAUUCAGUGAAUCAUCGAAUCUUUGAACGCACAUUGCGCCCCUUGGUAUUCCAUGGGGCAUGCCUGUUCGAGCGUCAUCUACACCCUCAAGCUCUGCUUGGUGUUGGGCGUCUGUCCCGCCUCUGCGCGCGGACUCGCCCCAAAUUCAUUGGCAGCGGUCCUUGCCUCCUCUCGCGCGGCACAAUUGCGUAGUAAGGGGGUGCGGGUCGCGUCCACGAAGCAACAUUACCGUCUUUGACCUCGGAUCAGGUAGGGAUACCCGCUGAACUUAAGCAUAUCAAUAAGCGGAGGA